AUCAGCCAACUCUCAAGUUCAUUAAGCAUAGCAUCAAGUGAAUCCUUGCAAAUGGUCAAUUGGUCCAAAUCAUUUGGGUAAGGGGAGACUUUUUAAUCAAGUGAGUCAAGGGGUUCAAGAUAUAUGAUAUUUAAGGUGGUACACUCUCAAGACAAGUAGCGUUGACAUUGCACAUAAUAUAUCUAAGAAAUGGAUCAACUCAUGCAUACAAUGCUCAAUCUCCAUUGUUCUACCCUUUUCUCAAACAUAUAUGAUACACAUUCAUUUCCCCAUUCCAAACCCAACUCACAUCUCUCACCCAAGGACUUCAAAAGCAUUUCCCAACAUAAAACUCUCUUUUUUUUUUUUACAAGGGAUUUCUUACACUUUUUGAACACCUCUUAGCUCAUACUAAUUUUGCUAGCCCCCUUUCUUUAUUCUUUUUUUUUUUUUUUUCUAUGUUUGGGAGCCAAGACUUUUCACAAAUUGAACUAGAAGUUUCUCUACUUAUCCCAUAAAGACUAGUCAAUUAAGCAGAAGAGUUCACUCUUUUCCUUCAACUUUCUCAUACUCCCAAAUCAAACUUUACAACACUCACCCCCAUCCUAUGGCUAGACAAUAAUGUGCCAAAUCUAGCAAGAAUGAAGAUCAAGCAUUGUCGUUCCCGAUACUCUCAACAUUAUGUGCAUGUAAGACUUUUCGAAAAGGUCAUUAAUCAAUGAAGGCUUAAAAGGAGGAAGGGAUUUUGGGG
This 730-nucleotide long non-coding RNA is filed under the name Brassica napus (rape). Its description in RNAcentral is "long non-coding RNA (BNAP_LNC014036)". The record is from RNAcentral. Lineage: Eukaryota; Viridiplantae; Streptophyta; Magnoliopsida; Brassicales; Brassicaceae.